GUGGAGCAGGGAAGGGAUGAAGGAGACAACAGAACUGCUGGCUCGAGACAUGAUAAGGGGAAGGUCUAAAUGAGGCCCUGGGUCCCAUGGGUCUAUUGGUAGACAGAAGAGGACGCAAUGAGGCAGAUGCAGUGCCCCUGGUGCUUGUUGUAUGCUUGGCCUCCAGAGGCUCUUGUUUGCAAACAACAUCUGUCUUUUGCGCUACUUCAGCACUUCCUUCUGCUAGCCAGGGUCCACCAUGUUGGCUUCCCUGUGACAUCUGCUUCCACCUGGCCCAAGCUGCCAUGAGCAGGUGCCCAGAGGGAGAGAACAGCAUGAGGUGGCUGUGGCAUCACUCACACACAUGCAUAGCCCAGGAUGGAGUGUUACCUAUCCAGCUGAGGUACCCCUGGAUGGGAAGUGAGGAAUACAAACAAUGAAAUGUUUAUCCGAAUGCAAAAGGAGACAGACCAUAUAAGAUCUGAGAUUGUGAAGAAAAACCCAGACGAAUGAAGGAAGAAAGAGAUAAUACUAAAGAUCCAGCACUGAUAUCUGAAAGACAGUAGUGGCUGAAUUACAAGUAUAUGAGCCUACCCAGGAGCAGGCACACAGCAGAUCUGCAGGAUUUGUGCUCUUCUGAACUCUGGGCAAAAACUCUUAGGAACCAGAUUAGUAACAAGUUAUACUGAUGUUUGCAUAGGUUAUUCUCUCUACUCUGAGACAAGACUCAAAAGAUGUGGCUGUCUGCUAUGUAGCAGAGAAGAGGAAGUUCUAUGUGGCAACUGCAUCCUAAAACAAUCCCUGUCCAGGAAGAAUGUUCCUUUGAGUGCACGCAGGAGCAUCAGAGCUACUCUGUGCAAGCAGAAAGUGUGCAGCAUUGACCAGCCACCUGGAUGUGCUCUGAGGAGCACUGGUUCUUGGCUUUCCUGGAAUGCUGGACACCAGCACAGGGAAGGCUGCCCAGGAGGGAGCACAGGCUCCCUGCACCAGCAUCUGUAUCUUUAUUGCAUCAUCACACCAAGUCUUGCUUGUAAGAAGUGAGAUGACACAGUAUUAAAAACAUGGGCAGCCUGUGAUGGCACUGGUGCCACUGCUAGUAGAUGGAACUUGCUCUGCAGAAGUACAGAGAAGGCCAGUGAAUUAACAGAGACAAGAAUAAACUGUUCUACAAUAGGAUUUGGCAACAAAUGCAAAGCAUUGUUCAGUUUGCUGUUGUUGGGGUUGCAGAGGAAGGCACAGUUUCUCAUAGAGAAGCUACAUUUCAGCUCAGUUUGCUGAUCCAGAUGGAAAACUGAGUGACAAGCCUGUACCUCAGCCUCUGGGCUUCUCCAAACUAAGUAGGCUAGUUCUUGUUUUCAGCUGCAUCAGAAGCUCUCUUUGUUGUUUAGCUUCAUUGGAAUAGAUUGAUUCCUCCUAUAGCCUGGAUGCAACUGGUUCUGCCAGUGGAAGCCCUAUCUGUGGGCAGCUCCAUCCCACACUAGUUGUGGGAUGUACCUCCCUAGUGGGAACCCAGGUCAGCACAUUUGAGCAGAUGUGCUCAGAUAAAGAAUGACAGGCCAAAUUUUGAAGUGUAUACACAGCUGCAGAUGUAACAUUUUAGACUGUUGAAAUAGGGAAGAGCAGCUACUGUCUGCUUUAGUGGCAGAAGAUAUUUUACUAGUCUGUCAUGAGUCUCAUGAAAUGAAUCACUGGAUGUAAACAAGGUUCAGUGUAACUGCAGUUCAAUCUAUCCAUGUAUCUAUCUUCACUGUUAGGGAAAGGGGUUUUUUGUUGUUGUGGUUUUUUUUGUUUGUUUGUGUGUGUUGUUUUUUUGUUCAGGAUCUCCAUUCAGCCUAGGUAGCAGAUCACUCUUAAUCUUGCAUGGUGCUCUGCAGGACAAACAUCGUUUUGAUGAAACUGUAAAUUUCCUUUAAUGGAAACUGGGGGCUGUGUGAGAGUCACCACCACCACCACAGAGAACUCUGCAUGUCCAAUGGCCUGUGUUAUUUACUGUCCUAGCUGAAAUGCUCUGAGAGCUGCCUGGCACUGCCAGAGCCAGCAGCCAGCAUGGGCAAGGCCGAUGCAUAGAGGGAAGGUGCAGUCAUGGCCAGGUGAGGCUUUACCACAGGUCUUCCUUGGAGGAUGAGAACUCUUUAUGGUGAGCCAAAUGAGCUCAGUAAAAUUCUCAUUGUGGCCAAGCUUACAUGCCAUAUAUUUCCUCUAUUAGUUUUGCCUUAAGGUAAUGGUUCUGAUGUUCAAGGAUAAGAUCCCUGGUAGUCAAGCUCAUGGACCCAGUGUUCAUUCUUGCCUUUGCUGGUUCUAAAGAACAAGGACAUUGCCAAAUGAUUUUGUUGGUUAGCUUGCCGAUGGCAAUGGAAAGUAAGAAUUCAGAUUCUUCUAAUGAAAAGCUAUUGUUAUAUUUUACUGAGGCAAUUGUUUCCUACUAGGUGGUACUGUGACAGCCAGAAGAAUGCAGGCUGUAAGUACUCAGAGCUGUGUGCUUUCCAGCACACAUCCAUCCUUCAGGCCAGGCUGUCCUUGGAGGAGGCACAGUGAUCCCAAGACCUGCUUGCCUUUCUGUGAUGCAAGCAGCAAGCUCACAUCCAUGUUGCCACCUUCCCUAUACAGCUAUAAGACCAAAGUCCUGGUGUGGGUGAUUCCAGAGGACCUCAGCAUGACUGCACAGAGCAGCAAGAUCUUUUGGAUGGGGAGCAAAUUGCCUUCAAAGCACCAAAGAUGUCCUUCAAGAGAAGGAAUGAGCUCUCAUGUUCUGCCAGCACAAUGCCAAGGAACUUAUGGGAAUGUUUUCAGAAAGAUCAGCCCAGUUCUUCCCCAACCUUUGCUGAGGACCUCUUAGCGAGCACUGCUGGG
Tympanuchus pallidicinctus (lesser prairie-chicken) is the source of this 2829-nucleotide long non-coding RNA. RefSeq lists it as uncharacterized. The record is from RefSeq and is a predicted model, not a curated record. Lineage: Eukaryota; Metazoa; Chordata; Aves; Galliformes; Phasianidae. The transcript has 3 exons.